ACCUUCGUGGUGUAGUGGUCAGCACGCUCGACGCGUAUUCGAGAGGUCCGUGGUUCAAGUCCCGGCGAGGUCA
RNAcentral lists this transfer RNA (73 nucleotides) under Stegodyphus mimosarum. It matches the Rfam family "tRNA". Rfam says of the family: Transfer RNA (tRNA) molecules are approximately 80 nucleotides in length. Their secondary structure includes four short double-helical elements and three loops (D, anti-codon, and T loops). Lineage: Eukaryota; Metazoa; Arthropoda; Arachnida; Araneae; Eresidae. The record is from Rfam by way of RNAcentral.